CGCGGGGUAGAGCAGCCCGGUAGCUCGUCAGGCUCAUAACCUGAAGGUCAUAGGUUCAAAUCCUAUCCCCGCAA
This 74-nucleotide transfer RNA is filed under the name Paracoccus panacisoli. RNAcentral describes it as "tRNA-Met". It matches the Rfam family "tRNA". From Rfam's summary of the family: Transfer RNA (tRNA) molecules are approximately 80 nucleotides in length. Their secondary structure includes four short double-helical elements and three loops (D, anti-codon, and T loops). RNAcentral also lists the same sequence under 3 other names. The record is from RNAcentral. Lineage: Bacteria; Pseudomonadati; Pseudomonadota; Alphaproteobacteria; Rhodobacterales; Paracoccaceae.